CCUACGGGGGGCAGCAGUGGGGAAUAUUGGACAAUGGGGGCAACCCUGAUCCAGCCAUGCCGCGUGUGUGAAGAAGGCCCUCGGGUUGUAAAGCACUUUCAGUGAGGAAGAACGCCUGGUGGUUAAUACCCAUCAGGAAAGACAUCACUCACAGAAGAAGCACCGGCUAACUCCGUGCCAGCAGCCGCGGUAAUACGGAGGGUGCGAGCGUUAAUCGGAAUUACUGGGCGUAAAGCGCGCGUAGGUGGCUUGAUAAGCCGGUUGUGAAAGCCCCGGGCUCAACCUGGGAACAGCAUCCGGAACUGUCAAGCUAGAGUGCAGGAGAGGAAGGUAGAAUUCCCGGUGUAGCGGUGAAAUGCGUAGAGAUCGGGAGGAAUACCAGUGGCGAAGGCGGCCUUCUGGACUGACACUGACACUGAGGUGCGAAAGCGUGGGUAGCAAACAGGAUUAGAUACCCUGGUAGUC
This 465-nucleotide ribosomal RNA is filed under the name Vreelandella stevensii. RNAcentral describes it as "partial 16S ribosomal RNA". It matches the Rfam family "Bacterial small subunit ribosomal RNA", at positions 338 to 795 of the family's 1533-position model. Lineage: Bacteria; Pseudomonadati; Pseudomonadota; Gammaproteobacteria; Oceanospirillales; Halomonadaceae. The record is from RNAcentral.